GCAAACGAGCUGCGGCCUUGGCGGAUUAUGUAUUGGGAGUGUUGGGGAAGUACAACUGAGUUGAAAAGCUGGUUAGCUCAAACAUACAAUGGGUCCUCAGUGAUGGCAUCCCAGCUUAAUGGGGUGCAGGCCAAGAUAAGAGAAAAAGUGCCCGAAGUUCCAUUUAUUCACUGUUAAACUUGGUGAUCUCACAGUCAGUGAAAUGCAGCCCAGAGUGUAAAAUCAUUUUCAAAACUGUGGAAGGACUCACUUUGACUUUCAAACUCAAAAGGAAUGAAUAAGACUUCCACAACACUACCACGGAGAGGUUCACCCUGACGGACAGACGAAUGGACUUCAUUUCCAAGCCAAGGGUCCAGGGUUCGUCUGAGUCGAAGUGGGUGUCCCCUCCGAUCCCAGGGCCCGGAAAGUAGGCGUGAGCUAGGAACCCGCCCUCACCGUCGAAGGGUGAGCUGUCGCCAUGGAAACCUGAGGCACCAUUCAAUACAAUUCUCACCUGAGGCGAAGAUGAUCGUGAUGUCCACAUCACGCCUACCGCUCUCCAGGGCGCUGUAAGGGACGGCCUCAAAGUGAAGCGGCGUCACCCCCUGCCACACGUCAAACGCA
Molecule: long non-coding RNA, 606 nt
Organism: Oncorhynchus masou masou (cherry salmon)
Lineage: Eukaryota; Metazoa; Chordata; Actinopteri; Salmoniformes; Salmonidae
Exons: 3
Source: RefSeq, a predicted model, not a curated record